CCUACGGGAGGCAGCAGUGAGGAAUAUUGGUCAAUGGACGAGAGUCUGAACCAGCCAAGUAGCGUGAAGGAUGACUGCCCUAUGGGUUGUAAACUUCUUUUAUAUGGGAAUAACAUCUUCCACGUGUGGGCUUUUGUAUGUACCAUAUGAAUAAGGAUCGGCUAAAUCCGUGCCAGCAGCCGCGGUAAUACGGAGGCUCCGAGCGUUAUCCGGAUUUAUUGGGUUUAAAGGGAGCGUAGGUGGGUUGUUAAGUCAGUUGUGAAAGUUUGCGGCUUAAACGUAAAAUUGCAGUUGAAACUGGCAGUCUUGAGUACAGUAGAGGUAGGCGGAAUUCGUGGUGUAGCGGUGAAAUGCUUAGAUAUCACGAAGAACUCCGAUUGCGAAGGCAGCUCACUGGACUGCGACUGACGCUGAGGCUCGAAAGUGUGGGUAUCAAACAGGAUUAGAUACCCUGGUAGUC
RNAcentral lists this ribosomal RNA (460 nucleotides) under uncultured bacterium. RNAcentral's name for it is "partial 16S ribosomal RNA". It matches the Rfam family "Bacterial small subunit ribosomal RNA", at positions 338 to 795 of the family's 1533-position model. The record is from RNAcentral.